AGUUCCGACCUGCACGAAUGGCAUAACGAUAGUGCGACUGUCUCAACGAGGGACUCAGUGAAAUUGCAAGGGAGGUGAAGAUGCCUCCUACCCGCAACUAGACGAAAAGACCCCGUGAAGCUUUACUACAAUUUGCUAUUGGUAUACGGUAAUUCAUGUUGAGCGUAGGUGGGAGCCUUCGGGCGCCAAUGAGACACCACCCUUGGAUUACUGUAUGCCUAAUUUUCCCCCGUGAAUCCGGGAGAGAAGACAGUGGCUGAUGGGUAGUUUAACUGGGGCGGUUGCCUCCCAAAAAGUAACGGAGGCGUUUACAAAGGUAGGCUUAGCUCGGAUGGAAAUCGAGCUGGACGCGCAAACGCACAAGCCUGCUUUACUGCAAGAGCUACAACUCGAGCAGUCGCGAAAGCGGAAGUUAGUGAACCGACCAUCCUUCAUAGGAAGGUGGAAGAUCAACGGAUAAAAGCUACUCCGGGGAUAACAGGCUGAUCUGGCCCGAUAGUCCACAUAGACGGCCAGGUUUGGCACCUCGAUGUCGGCUCAUCGCAUCCUGGGGGUGGAGAAGCUCCCAAGGGUUUGGCUGUUCGCCAAUUAAAGC
This 595-nucleotide ribosomal RNA is filed under the name Candidatus Magasanikbacteria bacterium RIFCSPLOWO2_02_FULL_44_11. Its description in RNAcentral is "bacterial LSU rRNA". It matches the Rfam family "Bacterial large subunit ribosomal RNA", at positions 1979 to 2594 of the family's 2925-position model. The record is from RNAcentral. Lineage: Bacteria; Candidatus Magasanikiibacteriota.